UGCAGUCGCCCACAAGCUGCAACACCAGCUCU
Molecule: non-coding RNA, 32 nt
Filed under: Homo sapiens (human)
Lineage: Eukaryota; Metazoa; Chordata; Mammalia; Primates; Hominidae
Source: RNAcentral